This 253-nucleotide ribosomal RNA is filed under the name uncultured bacterium. RNAcentral's name for it is "partial 16S ribosomal RNA". It matches the Rfam family "Bacterial small subunit ribosomal RNA", at positions 524 to 776 of the family's 1533-position model. The record is from RNAcentral.
UACGUAGGGUGCGAGCGUUGUCCGGAAUUACUGGGCGUAAAGGGCGCGUAGGCGGCAAGGCAAGUCAGGUGUGAAAGCCCCGAGCUUAACUCGGGAAUUGCAUCUGAAACUGCUGUGCUUGAGUUCUGGAGGGGGUAGUGGGAUUCCCAGUGUAGCGGUGAAAUGCGUAGAUAUUGGGAGGAACACCUGCGGCGAAGGCGGCUACCUGGACAGAAACUGACGCUGAGGCGCGAAAGCUAGGGGAGCGAACGGG